This 248-nucleotide long non-coding RNA is filed under the name Physcomitrium patens. RNAcentral's name for it is "long non-coding RNA (PPAT_LNC010837)". The record is from RNAcentral. Lineage: Eukaryota; Viridiplantae; Streptophyta; Bryopsida; Funariales; Funariaceae.
GAGAUAAAAUAUAAAAUAAUAGACAAGAAGGUAAAACCUAUUGCUAGCCCUUUACUAGAAGCUUCUAUAGAAAAAAUGAAGAUUUUGGAUCCUUCUUUUGCUCCAUAUUUUAGUCAUUGAUUUAUAGUGCCUAAGAAAAAUGGAUCAUUAUGCUUCUUUUAAGAUAUAUAGUCAGUAAAUGCAUUAAUUAUUAGAAAUGUAGAUAUAGGAUCUUUAGUAAAUGAGUUUAUAGAAGCAUUUGCAAGAAG